Molecule: small nucleolar RNA, 130 nt
Filed under: Tupaia belangeri (northern tree shrew)
Lineage: Eukaryota; Metazoa; Chordata; Mammalia; Scandentia; Tupaiidae
Also listed under: 1 other name
Description: Small nucleolar RNA SNORA38 (ENSTBEG00000018875.1)
Rfam family: Small nucleolar RNA SNORA38
About the family: ACA38 is a member of the H/ACA class of snoRNA that guide the sites of modification of uridines to pseudouridines.
Source: RNAcentral
CUCUCCAUCAAAGGCAUGUCUGUGGUUCCCUGUCUUUGGACAUGUAAGAAUUAGAGGCAAAGAAAUGUGGAUUGAGGAAUCUGGAGCCUGCUUGUUCCCUGCAGGACUCAAGAUCCACUAUCCCAUAUAG